GAUGAAGAACGCAGCGAAAUGCGAUACGUAAUGUGAAUUGCAGAAUUCAGUGAAUCAUCGAAUCUUUGAACGCAUAUUGCGCUCUUUGGUAUUCCGAAGAGCAUGCUUGUUUGAGUAUCAGUAAACACCUCAACCUCUUCUUGAUUUUUCAAAAGGAGGGUGGACUUGAGCUAUCCCAACAACCUUUACCGGUCGGCGGGCGGCUUGAAAUGCAGGUGCAGCUGGACUUUUAUCUGAGCUAAAAGCAUAUCUAUUUAGUCCUCGUCAAACAGGAUUAUUACUUUUGCUGCAGCUAACAUAAAGGAUAAUUGUCCUCUUUGCUGUCUGAUGCAGGAUUUUACGACACUUUAUGUGUUGUUCAACUCGAUCUCAAAUCAAGUAAGACUACCCGCUGAACUUAAGCAUAUCAAUAAGCGGAGGA
Molecule: unclassified non-coding RNA, 421 nt
Filed under: soil metagenome
Description: partial contains 5.8S ribosomal RNA, internal transcribed spacer 2, and large subunit ribosomal RNA
Rfam family: 5.8S ribosomal RNA (bases 1-120)
Source: RNAcentral